RNAcentral lists this ribosomal RNA (492 nucleotides) under uncultured bacterium. RNAcentral's name for it is "partial 16S ribosomal RNA". It matches the Rfam family "Bacterial small subunit ribosomal RNA", at positions 29 to 507 of the family's 1533-position model. The record is from RNAcentral.
AGUGAACGCUGGCGGUAGGCCUAACACAUGCAAGUCGAACGGCAGCACAGUAAGAGCUUGCUCUUACGGGUGGCGAGUGGCGGACGGGUGAGGAAUACAUCGGAAUCUACUUUUUCGUGGGGGAUAACGUAGGGAAACUUACGCUAAUACCGCAUACGACCUACGGGUGAAAGCAGGGGAUCUUCGGACCUUGCGCGAUUGAAUGAGCCGAUGUCGGAUUAGAUAGUUGGCGGGGUAAAGGCCCACCAAGGCGACGAUCCGUAGCUGGUCUGAGAGGAUGGUAGGCCACACUGGAACGGAGACAGGGUCAAGGCUCCUACGGGAGGCAGCAGUGGGGAAUAUUGGGCAAUGGGCGCAAGCCUGAUCCAGCCAGCCCGCGUGGGUGAAGAAGGCGUUCGGGUUGUAAAGCCCUUUUGUGGGGAAAGAACAGCAGCAGGUUGAUACCCCGCUGUUCUGACGGUACCCAAAGAAUAAGCACCGGCUAACUUCGUG